This 567-nucleotide ribosomal RNA is filed under the name Escherichia coli. Its description in RNAcentral is "partial 23S ribosomal RNA". It matches the Rfam family "Bacterial large subunit ribosomal RNA", at positions 419 to 986 of the family's 2925-position model. Lineage: Bacteria; Pseudomonadati; Pseudomonadota; Gammaproteobacteria; Enterobacterales; Enterobacteriaceae. The record is from RNAcentral.
GGGACACGUGGUAUCCUGUCUGAAUAUGGGGGGACCAUCCUCCAAGGCUAAAUACUCCUGACUGACCGAUAGUGAACCAGUACCGUGAGGGAAAGGCGAAAAGAACCCCGGCGAGGGGAGUGAAAAAGAACCUGAAACCGUGUACGUACAAGCAGUGGGAGCACGCUUAGGCGUGUGACUGCGUACCUUUUGUAUAAUGGGUCAGCGACUUAUAUUCUGUAGCAAGGUUAACCGAAUAGGGGAGCCGAAGGGAAACCGAGUCUUAACUGGGCGUUAAGUUGCAGGGUAUAGACCCGAAACCCGGUGAUCUAGCCAUGGGCAGGUUGAAGGUUGGGUAACACUAACUGGAGGACCGAACCGACUAAUGUUGAAAAAUUAGCGGAUGACUUGUGGCUGGGGGUGAAAGGCCAAUCAAACCGGGAGAUAGCUGGUUCUCCCCGAAAGCUAUUUAGGUAGCGCCUCGUGAAUUCAUCUCCGGGGGUAGAGCACUGUUUCGGCAAGGGGGUCAUCCCGACUUACCAACCCGAUGCAAACUGCGAAUACCGGAGAAUGUUAUCACGGGAGACA